Non-coding RNA from Clupea harengus (Atlantic herring), 429 nucleotides. NCBI's taxonomy places the organism in Eukaryota, Metazoa, Chordata, Actinopteri, Clupeiformes, Clupeidae. The record is from the annotation of a RefSeq genome assembly.
CCGCUGUUUUGGAGACGACAUCAGUAGAAUGGAGCUGAGGAUCAUUUGGUGCACUGUUGUGUUUUUGGUCUACCCAGACAGUGGUAGAGGCCAGACUAUGCGUGAGUCUGAGUCCGUGGUUCUUAAACCUGGAGACUCCCACAAACUGACCUGCACGUACUCUGGCUUUAGCAGUGAUCCUGAAGUAGUUUGGAUCAGACAAGCAGCUGGAAAAGGGCUGGACUGGUUGUCUUAUCUUUCCUCUGGCAGUGGGUCUAUAUAUUACUCACAAGCUGUCCAGGGACGGUUCACAACGACCAGAGACAACAGCAAGAGUCAAGUAUUUUUACACAUGAGCAAUCUGAGACCUGAAGACACAGCUGUGUACUACUGUGCUCGUGAAUCACAGUGACAGAAACAACUACACUGCUGAACAAAAACAACAUGUGG